This 252-nucleotide long non-coding RNA is filed under the name Hordeum vulgare. RNAcentral's name for it is "long non-coding RNA (HVUL_LNC008189)". Lineage: Eukaryota; Viridiplantae; Streptophyta; Magnoliopsida; Poales; Poaceae. The record is from RNAcentral.
GGGGUCCUAGCGCCGGGAAUGGGACGCGGGGAGCCGCCCCGAGCCCCCGGACAUGGCGCCCAGUGCCGGAGACGACGGAUCGGCGGUUAGACGGAGGAGGCGCUGCACCCUCUCUCUCUGCUUUCUCUCAGAACUUACCAGGGAAGAACGAGGGCACGAGGGAAACUGGCGGCGCUGGGGAGGAAAGGAGAGGGAACCCUAGGGCGGAGGAGGAGGUCUCGGGCUCCUUUUAACGCCUCGGGAGGCGAGCUC